This 302-nucleotide ribosomal RNA is filed under the name uncultured eukaryote. RNAcentral's name for it is "partial large subunit ribosomal RNA". It matches the Rfam family "Eukaryotic large subunit ribosomal RNA", at positions 40 to 350 of the family's 3401-position model. The record is from RNAcentral.
GUGUAAUUAAGCGGAGGAAUAGAAAAUAACAUUAAUUUCCUGAAUAGUGGCGAACGAAAAGGAAAAAGCGCAAAGUGUAAAUCGAAUUACCCAAUUCGAGUUGUACAUGACUACCAAUAAUACCCGAAUCUAGAUGGAGGUGUUUGGAAAAGCCCCCCAUUGGCGGUGAAAGGCCGCAGCAUCUAAAGGAAGGUUACACAUUGGUAGUAAGCGGAGUCACAUUCUCUAGGCGUAGAAUGUAAAGAGGGUGGUAACUAUCAUCCAACGCUAAAUACUACAAGGAGACCGAUAGCGCACAAGUA